GUGGAUUAGAUACCCUGGUAGUCCACGCCGUAAACGUUGGGCGCUAGAUGUGGGGACCAUUCCACGGUUUCCGUGUCGCAGCUAACGCAUUAAGCGCCCCGCCUGGGGAGUACGGCCGCAAGGCUAAAACUCAAAGGAAUUGACGGGGGCCCGCACAAGCGGCGGAGCAUGCGGAUUAAUUCGAUGCAACGCGAAGAACCUUACCAAGGCUUGACAUAUACCUGAAAAGGCUGGAAACAGUCUCCCCGCAAGGCAGGUGUACAGGUGGUGCACGGCUGUCGCCAACU
This 287-nucleotide ribosomal RNA is filed under the name uncultured bacterium. Its description in RNAcentral is "partial 16S ribosomal RNA". It matches the Rfam family "Bacterial small subunit ribosomal RNA", at positions 773 to 1060 of the family's 1533-position model. The record is from RNAcentral.